GCUGGAAUUGCUAGUAAUGGCAGGUCAGCAUACUGCCGUGAAUACGUUCCCGGGCCCUUGUACACACCGCCCGUCACACCAUGAGAGUUGGAAAUACCCGAAGCCUGUGAGCUAACAAACGAGGCAGCAGUCGAAGGUAGAGCCAAUGAUUGGGGUGAAGUCGUAACAAGGUAGC
Molecule: ribosomal RNA, 175 nt
Filed under: uncultured bacterium
Lineage: Bacteria
Description: partial 16S ribosomal RNA
Rfam family: Bacterial small subunit ribosomal RNA
Source: RNAcentral